CCAGGUACCAGCUGUGUGAUCCUGGAGUGGCCACCCGACUGGGCUGUUUCCACCCAUGUGACAGUGGCAUCGUGAACCCACAGAGCCCCAGUGCUAUUUCAAGGAUUGAGCAAGACACCACCCACAGCGCCCAGCACGUCACUGGCACCAUGCCUACCAGUGAAGUCCAUGUUUCAAGGCUCCACUGGACAGCAUGGGUCACUCACGGCACCAGCAGCUACCAGGUGCAUCAGGCAAUGCAGCCAGAGCAGGCCUGUGACGGAGCUGCUGGCAUCUGGCAGCCGCAGACUCUGGACAGAAUGUCUCCCAGAUACAGUCAACCAGGCUGCUGUUGAGGCUGAAGAAGAGGGAAGAAAAAAUGGUCUGGGUAACUGUGCAAUUCAGCGUUCACUGAGAAGCCAGUACUGCUCCCUGAAAAUACAGUUUCUGAUAAAUAAAGCAUGGUACAUGCAGACAAGGGA
Non-coding RNA from Oryctolagus cuniculus (rabbit), 461 nucleotides. Lineage: Eukaryota; Metazoa; Chordata; Mammalia; Lagomorpha; Leporidae. The record is from RefSeq and is a predicted model, not a curated record.